Long non-coding RNA from Hordeum vulgare subsp. vulgare (domesticated barley), 719 nucleotides. RefSeq lists it as uncharacterized. The record is from RefSeq and is a predicted model, not a curated record. Lineage: Eukaryota; Viridiplantae; Streptophyta; Magnoliopsida; Poales; Poaceae. The transcript is spliced from 2 exons.
CGCCCAUUCGCUGCCGCACCGUAUCCCCCGCCGCUCUGCCGCCGCAGCGGGAAGACGCACCGGAGGUCCCGUCGCCGUACCAAGCGCGCCGCGCUGCACGGCAUCCGAACCACCGCCUUGCUUGUGUGGUGCUAGCCGUCGCUGCACUGCUCCUGCCACCGGCAUGGGGCCAGAGGGGGUAGGCGUCGUCUGUGGCCUCCGUGGGCUGCGCCGCCACCCGCGUCAUCGAGCUCCGCCACCGGACUGGUGCUGGCGAGGGGGCGGUGAGAUCGAGCGGUGGUGGUGGUGGAGGAGGAGGAGCUGGAUGAGCAUGCUUUAUGAUUUCAAGUUGAAUUGCCAGCCAUCAACUGUCGAUGUUCCGCAACACUUCUGCAGUUCUGCUUCUCCCGAGAGAGAGAAACCUUGUGCAUUCAGGAAGCCGGAUCCCCUUAAAUAUUGGCGCGGAAAGGACCUCCGAAUCAGGGCGCCUAUAUGUUUUGUCUCCAAGGACAAGAAUUCCUGGAACAUUUACCCAGGAGGUAGGAGUAGUUUUGACGAAGAAAAAAUAAAUGAAGUUUCUACUUUUGAACGGUUCGACUAAUUCCAUGGCUACAACCUAGAGGGGUAUGAUGAGAUUUUUUCCUUUUUUGCGCAUUAGGUACGAUGGAAUUGAUGCAUAGAUGAGGCAUAUAUACUUUUGUAUCAGUAUGUUUUCGGCCGAUUCCAGAUUCACAAACACA